GACGAACGCUGGCGGCGUGCUUAACACAUGCAAGUCGAACGGAAAGGCCCUGCUUUUGUGGGGUGCUCGAUUGGCGAACGGGUGAGUAACACGUGAGUAACCUGCCCUUGACUUUGGGAUAACUUCACGAAACUGGGGCUAAUACCGGAUAGGAGCUCCUGCUGCAUGGUGGGGGUUGGAAAGUUUCGGCGGUUGUGGAUGGACUCGCGGCUUAUCAGCUUGUUGGUGGGGUAGUGGCUUACCAAGGCUUUGACGGGUAGCCGGCAUGAGAGGUUGAACGGGCACAUUGGGACUGAGAGAGAGCCCAGGAUGGUACGGGAGGCAGAAGGGGGGAACCUUGCACAACGGGCGGAAGCCUGAUGAAGAAACGCCGCGUGCGGGAUGCCGGCCUUCGGGUUGUAAACCGCUUUCGCCUGUGACGAAGCGUGAGUGACGGUAAUGGGUAAAGAAGCACCGGCUAACUACGUG
RNAcentral lists this ribosomal RNA (468 nucleotides) under uncultured bacterium. RNAcentral's name for it is "partial 16S ribosomal RNA". It matches the Rfam family "Bacterial small subunit ribosomal RNA", at positions 28 to 507 of the family's 1533-position model. The record is from RNAcentral.